Molecule: long non-coding RNA, 441 nt
Organism: Zalophus californianus (California sea lion)
Lineage: Eukaryota; Metazoa; Chordata; Mammalia; Carnivora; Otariidae
Exons: 3
Source: RefSeq, a predicted model, not a curated record
AGUUAGAACAGGGAAGGAUUUCCUGGAAUCUGAGCAUACUCCACAAGCUUUCCAACAAAGUUCCACUUAAGAUUUGAGACAUCCCAGUCACCUUUACAAUUUGAAAAUAGUUGUGGAAAAUUUAUCUUUAUGGAGCAAGUGUCAUCUGGAGGAGACUGGAAACCUGCCAUUUGGUACCACGUCAAAACACUCACUCGACCUGAAUCCAUAUUCCAGUUGUUGUCAUGAUGUAGCAACUUUUAUCUUGAGCUUAACAUGUAAACAAAAUACUCACCAUGAGGCAAGAUGGAGGUCUCACAGUUCUUUGGAUUUAAGUGUGUAUACUUCUCUCAAUUUCUUCCUUCUACAAAAGGACUGCAUCCUUUGGCUAGGUUUUAAUGAAACAUUUCAAACACCCAAAAUGCCUAAGGAUAAGAUAGUCGAUACUUAACGAAUGUACCA